AUUGCGCCAAAAAGUGAUAGCAUGAGUAGCAUUUUCAGGUGGCUUAGGAACAGAAGGCACAGCCUCCUCUGUAAGUCGUCUUGGAGCUCCAGUAAAGCUUCUUGAGCCCGAAGAUGGAAGGUUUUCCGAAGGUCCUACAGCAGCACUUUGUCUAGCUUGAUUAAAUAGUGCAUCCACGUCAUUCUCUUUUGAUGGAUCUUGAACAAGCAUUCCGCUUUUAUCUCCGCCAGUGUUAGCUUCUUGCGGCUCAACGGAGUCACUCCCUG
RNAcentral lists this unclassified non-coding RNA (266 nucleotides) under Hevea brasiliensis (rubber tree). The record is from RNAcentral. Lineage: Eukaryota; Viridiplantae; Streptophyta; Magnoliopsida; Malpighiales; Euphorbiaceae.